Molecule: transfer RNA, 70 nt
Filed under: Ictidomys tridecemlineatus (thirteen-lined ground squirrel)
Lineage: Eukaryota; Metazoa; Chordata; Mammalia; Rodentia; Sciuridae
Description: Spermophilus tridecemlineatus (thirteen-lined ground squirrel) tRNA
Rfam family: tRNA
About the family: Transfer RNA (tRNA) molecules are approximately 80 nucleotides in length. Their secondary structure includes four short double-helical elements and three loops (D, anti-codon, and T loops).
Source: Rfam by way of RNAcentral
GGGGUUGUGGCUCAGCGGUAGAGCGCUCAACUAUCAUUUGCGAGGCCUUGGGUUCGAUCCCAGAACCACA